AGGGCGCAUGGCGGAUGCCUUGGCUCUCGGAGGCGAUGAAGGACGUGAUAAGCUGCGAUAAGCUUUGGGGAGGUGCAAAUGACCUUUGAUCCAGAGAUUUCCGAAUGGGACAACCCAAUAUCUUGAAGAGGUAUUAUCCAACGUUGUUGGAGGCUAACGCAGGGAACUGAAACAUCUUAGUACCUGCAGGAAAAGAAAAUAAACAAUGAUUCCCCCAGUAGUGGCGAGCGAACGGGGAACAGCCCAAACCAUCCAUGUUACGGCAUGGGUGGGGUUGUAGGACUACGCCGUUGCAUGAAGACAUCAGAGAAGAACUUUCUGGAAAGAAAGACCAUAGAGCAUGACAGUUGCGUAUUCGAAUGUUGUCGAAGCAUAGUAGUAUCCUGAGUAGCGCGGAGCACGAGGAAUUCUGCGUGAAUCUGCCGGGACCAUCCGGUAAGGCUAAAUACUCCCGAGAGACCGAUAGCGAACCAGUACCGUGAGGGAAAGGUGAAAAGCACUUCGAACAGAAGAGUGAAAUAGUUCCUGAAACCGUGCGCCUACAAGCGGUCGGAGCUCGUUAAUGAGUGACGGCGUGCCUUUUGCAUAAUGAACCUACGAGUUGCCUUUGCCGGCAAGGUUAAGUGUGACGACACACGUAUCCGAAGCGAAAGCGAGUCUGAAUAGGGCGUAUAGUCGGCAGUGGCAGACGCGAAACCAAGUGAUCUACCCUUGGCCAGGUUGAAGGCUGGGUAACACCAGCUGGAGGACCGCACCAAUAAGCGUUGAAAAGCUUCUGGAUGAGCUGAGGGUAGGGGUGAAAGGCUAAUCAAACUUGGAGAUAGCUCGUACUCCCCGAAAUGCAUUUAGGUGCAGCCUUGCGGGUUACUGAUGUGAGGUAGAGCGACUGAUAAGAUGCGAGGGCUUCACCGCCUAUCAAGUCUUGACAAACUCCGAAUGCGCAUCAGUUCUACCGCAGGAGUGAGGGCAUGGGUGCUAAGGUCCGUGCCCGAGAGGAGAAGAAUCCGGACCACCUGCUAAGGUCCCGAAAUGACAGCUAAGUUAAACUAACGAAGUCUGACUGCUAAGACAGCUAGGAUGUUGGCUUGGAAGCAGCCAUUCAUUUAAAGAGUGCGUAACAGCUCACUAGUCGAGGAGUCGGGCGUGGAUAAUAAUCGGGUAUUAAGUUGUCUACCGAAGCAGUGGGAUCAUUUAUAUGAUCGGUAGGGGAGCAUUCCAGUCAGCGUCGAAGGCGUACCGUGAGGUAUUCUGGAGCGUCUGGAAAAGCAAAUGUAGGUAUAAGUAACGAUAAAGGGGGCGGGAAACCCCCUCGCCGAAAGACUAAGGUUUCCUGAUCAACGCUAAUCGGAUCAGGGUCAGUCGGGUCCUAAGGCUCAGCCGAACGGCGAUGCCGAUGGCAGAAACGGUUAAUAUUCCGUUACUACCUUCAGGAGUGACGUGGAGACGCAGUAGUGACAGUGCCGCCAUCUGACGGAAUAGAUGGUUGAAGGGUGUAGGAGUCGAUCAUGGCAGGCAAAUCCACCAUGAGAUCCGAACCUGAUAGUAUGCCGCGUCCUUCGGGACAAGGCAAUAGUGCGCGUAAGCAUGCUGCCGAGAAAAUCCGCUAAACUUAAUCCUGCAGGUACCCGUACCGCAAACGGACACACGUAGUCGGGAUGAAUAUUCUAAGGCGCUUGAGUGAUUCACGGUUAAGGAACUAGGCAAACUGACCCUGUAACUUCGGGAUAAAGGGUCCCUACCCUUUUAUGGGAGGGCGCAGAGAAUCGGUCCAGGCAACUGUUUAACAAAAACACAGGGCUGUGCCAAAUCGAAAGAUCCAGUAUACAGCCUGACACCUGCCCGGUGCUGGAAGGUUAAGAGGAGAUGUCAUCGAUAAGAGAAGCGUUGAAUUGAAGCCCCAGUAAACGGCGGCCGUAACUAUAACGGUCCUAAGGUAGCGAAAUUCCUUGUCGGGUAAGUUCCGACCUGCACGAAUGGUGUAAUGAUCUGGACGCUGUCUCAACCGUGAGCUCAGUGAAAUUGUAGUAUCGGUGAAGAUGCCGAUUACCCGCGAUGGGACGAAAAGACCCCGUGAACCUUUACUAUAGCUUAUCAUUGAAUCUGGGCACGUGAUGUGUAGGAUAGGUCGGAGGCUUUGAAGCAGGUACGCCAGUAUUUGUGGAGCCGCUGUUGAAAUACGACCCUUUAUUUGUUUGGAUUCUAACCCGUGGAUACGGGGACAUUGAUUGGUGGGUAGUUUGACUGGGGUGGUCGCCUCCAAAAGCGUAACGGAGGCUUCUAAAGGUGCCCUCCGGCCGAUUGGUAACCGGCCUUAGAGUGUAAUGGCAUAAGGGCGCUUGACUGGGAGACUAACAAGUCGAUCAGGUAGGAAACUAGAGCAUAGUGAUCCGGUGUUUCCGUAUGGAAGGGACAUCGCUCAAAGGAUAAAAGGUACUCCGGGGAUAACAGGCUGAUCCCUCCCAAGAGCUCAUAUCGACGGAGUGGUUUGGCACCUCGAUGUCGGCUCGUCACAUCCUGGGGCUGGAGAAGGUCCCAAGGGUUGGGCUGUUCGCCCAUUAAAGUGGCACGCGAGCUGGGUUCAGAACGUCGUGAGACAGUUCGGUCUCUAU
This 2609-nucleotide ribosomal RNA is filed under the name human gut metagenome. RNAcentral describes it as "bacterial LSU rRNA". It matches the Rfam family "Bacterial large subunit ribosomal RNA", at positions 14 to 2641 of the family's 2925-position model. The record is from RNAcentral.